GACGUAGGGCGCAAGCGUUGUCCGGAAUCAUUGGGCGUAAAGAGCGUGUAGGCGGCCCGGUAAGUCCGCUGUGAAAGUCCAGGGCUCAACCCUGGGAUGCCGGUGGAUACUGUCGGGCUCGAGUCCGGAAGAGGAGUGUGGAAUUCCUGGUGUAGCGGUGAAAUGCGCAGAUAUCAGGAGGAACACCAAUGGCGAAGGCAGCACUCUGGGACGUGACUGACGCUGAGACGCGAAAGCGUGGGGAGCAAACAGG
RNAcentral lists this ribosomal RNA (253 nucleotides) under uncultured bacterium. Its description in RNAcentral is "partial 16S ribosomal RNA". It matches the Rfam family "Bacterial small subunit ribosomal RNA", at positions 524 to 776 of the family's 1533-position model. The record is from RNAcentral.